AUGAGGACCAUAGUAGCUACAGAUGUAGAGCACAGAAGAAGUGUGCACACCAAAUGGCCUAGGGGAGGACCAGACAUCAACCUCCCAAGCUGGCUGAAAUCGUCCUACUAUCCGACACAGAGCUGGGGUCUCCCUAGUACCUGCUGCUCUGGAGUUCCUAGGAGAGGAAGAGGAAGGAGGCAAGAAGCCGUGUAUCCAGCCAACAUUUAUGGAACAUAUGCAGAGCUGAGCAUGGCGACGGGGCUGAAGACAAGAAAAAGAAUACCAAGUCAAUGGUCCCUGCCCUCCAGGAGCACACAGAAGAAACAGACUGUAAAUGGAUUCUGAGAGUACAGGGCAACAGGGAUGGCUCAAAGGAGGCCUGGCCAACUCUGCAGAUGGGGUGAGGUGGGGGGAAUUAGGGUGGUAUGAACUUCCGGGACUGAGACUAGCGGUCGCCUCUGUCUGGGGGAGGACUUUGCUGGAGCAGGCAUGAAGGAGUGGUGGAAGCCAAAGCUUGAUUCCAUGUUGGUUACAUGGGUGUAUACAUUUGUCAAAACUCACUGAAUUGUACUCUUAAGAUUUUUGCAUUUUAUUAUAUGUAAAUUACAUCUCGAUAUGUAAGUAAAAUCAGUUUAUUGAAAAAAAAUUUUUUUAAAUGAGUGGUAGAGGAAGGGGAAGUACCUUCAGGCCAAGAUAAUUUUAUGUUCAAGGGUUUGUGGGUAUAAGGCAGCAUGGUGCCCAGGGUAAUGUGCCAAUUGCUGAGUUUGGCUGGAAUUUAGGGCGUAUAAAGGAUGUGAGAACAAGUGGUUAGAACCUUACAUGCCUUACAGAGGAGUCUAGACAUCGUCCUCCAAGUCUAGGUUUGUGGGGAGUGCGGAGGGAGGGAAAAGAAGAAGCCAGAGAGGACCAAUACAGCAGCAAGGCAAGCUGCACCAAUACCCUAGACACUAAUCAGGAAAAAGUCACUUCCUACAUCCAGGCUGAACUUGGUCAACUUCUCCUGCCCAGGAGGAGAGGGUGCCCAGAGUGUUUGUCAUGAACCAGCAGGGAAAUGUCCCCAGUGAUUGUCUAUUUCACUUCUGCUGGAGAUGAUCACUGCUUCCUCAUUCAGCG
Callithrix jacchus (white-tufted-ear marmoset) is the source of this 1095-nucleotide long non-coding RNA. The record is from Ensembl. NCBI's taxonomy places the organism in Eukaryota, Metazoa, Chordata, Mammalia, Primates, Cebidae.